This 29-nucleotide non-coding RNA is filed under the name Rattus norvegicus (Norway rat). Lineage: Eukaryota; Metazoa; Chordata; Mammalia; Rodentia; Muridae. The record is from RNAcentral.
GAUCAUAACUUGACUGAUCUUAUGUCUGC